Long non-coding RNA from Columba livia (rock pigeon), 535 nucleotides. RefSeq lists it as uncharacterized. The transcript is spliced from 5 exons. The record is from RefSeq and is a predicted model, not a curated record. NCBI's taxonomy places the organism in Eukaryota, Metazoa, Chordata, Aves, Columbiformes, Columbidae.
GCUGCUUGGUCUCGGGGACAGAAAACCACACUCUGAGCUGUUCAGCUGCGUUCUCCUGCAGCUCCUGCUGCUUUGCAAGGUACACAUGAGGUGCUGCACACCUCCAAACCAGGGAAGGAUGCUUCCCCUACUCAAAGGAUGAAUCACUGAAGCAGGAUGAGAACUUGUCCUCUGUGUCACUACAGACAGUCCUCACCGCUCCGCUUGGACAUGUGGCUUGGCGCUUGGGAGCAGCUAACGUGAUGAUGGUGGAACUAAUUACUCUUCAGACAUCUCUUCAUGUGUCGCCGUUGUGAAAGGGAGAGCUGCUCAUUUUCCAGAGAUGCUGAGUCGCUUUAUCAGACCUAACAAGCUUCCUUGCUGGCCCAAAUCAAAGACCUGACGGAGAGUUAUAAAAGAUGCUCUUUAGUUGGGAGGCAGUGAGACCCCGGAGAUCUAGCAGGGGUCACCAUGCAUCAAUCUCCUGCCACCAGAACUGACCGUGAGAUGUUCUGUCACUUCUUAGCUGGUCAAAUGCAACACAGACAUGCUCGAA